UACAAAGAGACAGUGGCCAUCUGCAAACCCUUUACCCAGCGUGGGAUCUAGCAGCACCUUGAUCUUAGACUUCCAGCCUCCAGAAUGCUGGACUGUAUACUCCGUGACGGUGACGCCUUUGUCUAAUGCCUGGAGAAGUUCUUGGCAUGGAGCAGUGCCCGACACAAAUGGUAGAAAACGAUGAAUGAAUACAUGAAUCACAGGCAGCCUAGGGCUUAAGGUCCUCUCACCGUUGUGACCCUCACUGGAGCCUAAACUGAAUUUUUAGUCUCCAAACUAUGAGAUAAAU
Marmota flaviventris (yellow-bellied marmot) is the source of this 289-nucleotide non-coding RNA. The record is from RefSeq and is a predicted model, not a curated record. Lineage: Eukaryota; Metazoa; Chordata; Mammalia; Rodentia; Sciuridae.